UACGAAGGGGGCUAGCGUUGCUCGGAAUUACUGGGCGUAAAGGGCGCGUAGGCGGUUCUAUAAGUCAGGCGUGAAAUUCCUGGGCUUAACCUGGGGGCUGCGCUUGAGACUGUGGGACUUGAGGUCAGAAGAGGGUCGUGGAAUUCCCAGUGUAGAGGUGAAAUUCGUAGAUAUUGGGAAGAACACCGAUGGCGAAGGCAGCCAUCUGGACCGACACUGACGCUGAGGCGCGAAAGCGUGGGGAGCAAACAGG
This 253-nucleotide ribosomal RNA is filed under the name uncultured bacterium. RNAcentral's name for it is "partial 16S ribosomal RNA". It matches the Rfam family "Bacterial small subunit ribosomal RNA", at positions 524 to 776 of the family's 1533-position model. The record is from RNAcentral.